GUUUUCUCCUGGUACGCAAGUGCUUCUGUAGAUUUUAGUCAUUUGUCAUAUCUCUCGUAUAAAGAAUGUGAAGAUAUAAAAACAAAAACUUAUUUAAUUAAUUAGAAAUAUAUCCAUGAGCUUCAAGAUAUAAUGUCAUUAACUUUGUUACUGAGUAGCUAGAGAUCAUCACUAACACAGUUUAACAACUAAUUGGGAAAUUUCAAGAUCAGGGUACUAUAUAACAACUUUUGGAACAUAAUUCUACGGUUUGAGUUGACACUUUGAGUGAACUCUUCUGUGAAUGUCUUUUUUUCACCGGGCCCCUCCACUUUUCUAUGCUAUUUAGGUAGCUAGGAAAGGAAAAAGAAGAAAUUAUAGCUGAAUUACGCAAGUAUAGUAAUUAUGGUGACAGCUAAUGAAGCUUGGCUAGUUCUCAACACGUACGCCUUGCUUGCGC
This 439-nucleotide unclassified non-coding RNA is filed under the name Hevea brasiliensis (rubber tree). Lineage: Eukaryota; Viridiplantae; Streptophyta; Magnoliopsida; Malpighiales; Euphorbiaceae. The record is from RNAcentral.